UGGUAUUCAACCUGGGAGGUAGGGGCCCAUUAGCAGGAUGCCUUGUCACUUUGCUCAGUUUUUUUUUUUUUUUUUUCCUUUUCGCCAAUGAAUCCAGCCCUCCUCAGCCUUCAAUGUGUCCAUGUGCCUAAUUUCUCCUGGUUGUGACACAAAAACCUGGAUUUAGCUAAACUAAGGAGCAAAACUUCUACAUCAGUUUGGUGGCACAUCUGGGGAUCAAGGAAGGGUUUCUGAUAUCUUUGAAGAUUGUGACACUGGAAUAAAGGAAAACAUACAGGACUCAUGAAGAGCUGACAUGUUCGUGAAUAUCAAGCAAAACAAGAGUUAAUGGAAUGGACUGAACUAAUAGAAAA
This 353-nucleotide long non-coding RNA is filed under the name Homo sapiens (human). RNAcentral describes it as "non-protein coding lnc-IL6-7:1". The record is from RNAcentral. Lineage: Eukaryota; Metazoa; Chordata; Mammalia; Primates; Hominidae.